Molecule: transfer RNA, 85 nt
Filed under: Felis catus (domestic cat)
Lineage: Eukaryota; Metazoa; Chordata; Mammalia; Carnivora; Felidae
Rfam family: tRNA
About the family: Transfer RNA (tRNA) molecules are approximately 80 nucleotides in length.
Source: Rfam by way of RNAcentral
ACCUGGGUGGCUCAGUCUGUUGAGCGUCUGACUUCGGCUCAGGUCAUGAUCUUGCAGCUUGUAGGUUCGAGCCCUGCUUCAGGCU